Molecule: ribosomal RNA, 649 nt
Filed under: uncultured bacterium
Lineage: Bacteria
Description: bacterial SSU rRNA
Rfam family: Bacterial small subunit ribosomal RNA
Source: RNAcentral
UUGCUUCUCUUCCCAGCGGCGGACGGGUGAGUAAUGCCUAGGAAUCUGCCUGGUAGUGGGGGAUAACGUUCGGAAACGGACGCUAAUACCGCAUACGUCCUACGGGAGAAAGCAGGGGACCUUCGGGCCCUUGCGCUAUCAGAUGAGCCUAGGUCGGAUUAGCUAGUUGGUGGGGUAAUGGCUCACCAAGGCGACGAUCCGUAACUGGUCUGAGAGGAUGAUCAGUCACACUGGAACUGAGACACGGUCCAGACUCCUACGGGAGGCAGCAGUGGGGAAUAUUGGACAAUGGGCGAAAGCCUGAUCCAGCCAUGCCGCGUGUGUGAAGAAGGUCUUCGGAUUGUAAAGCACUUUAAGUUGGGAGGAAGGGUUGUAGAUUAAUACUCUGCAAUUUUGACGUUACCGACAGAAUAAGCACCGGCUAACUCUGUGCCAGCAGCCGCGGUAAUACAGAGGGUGCAAGCGUUAAUCGGAAUUACUGGGCGUAAAGCGCGCGUAGGUGGUUUGUUAAGUUGGAUGUGAAAUCCCCGGGCUCAACCUGGGAACUGCAUUCAAAACUGACUGACUAGAGUAUGGUAGAGGGUGGUGGAAUUUCCGGUAGCGGGAAAGGUAGAUAUAGGAAGGAACACCAGUGGCGAAGGCGACCACC